CGAAGUAGGAUGUCGCGCGUUAAGUGCCGCAGGAUGGGAAGUUGCCUGCGGACGAAGAGCAAAGCUCGCGGUGCCUCAUCCGCAUCCGUUG
Molecule: non-coding RNA, 91 nt
Filed under: bovine gut metagenome
Description: THF riboswitch
Rfam family: THF (Tetrahydrofolate) riboswitch aptamer
About the family: THF riboswitch presents a pseudoknot that joins P1-P2 and the loop of P3 and two THF binding.
Source: RNAcentral